GGCCGCCUGUAGUCUAGUGGCUAAGGUGCAUGACCGGGACUCUUGAGGUCGUGGCUCAAGCCCCAUUGUAGCCA
Non-coding RNA from Albula glossodonta (roundjaw bonefish), 74 nucleotides. NCBI's taxonomy places the organism in Eukaryota, Metazoa, Chordata, Actinopteri, Albuliformes, Albulidae. The record is from the annotation of a GenBank genome assembly.